Molecule: ribosomal RNA, 943 nt
Filed under: uncultured organism
Description: bacterial SSU rRNA
Rfam family: Bacterial small subunit ribosomal RNA
Source: RNAcentral
GCUAGCGGGAGGCUUAAUACAUGCAAGUCGAGGGGUAACAUGAGUAUCAGGACCUUGAUGAGCGACCGGCGCACGGGUGAGUAACGCGUAUGCAAACUAGCUCCGAGCGGAGAAUAGCCCCAGGAAAUUGGGAUUAAUGCUCCAUAAGACCAUAAUGCCGCCUGAUAUAGUGGUAAAAGCUCCGGCGCUCGGAGAUGGUCGUGCGUGCCAUUAGCUAGUUGGCGAGGUAACAGCUCACCAAGACGACGAUGGCUAGGGGGUCUGAGAGCAUGAUCCCCCACACUGGUACUGAGACACGGACCCGACUCCUACGGGAGGCAGCAGUGAGGAAUAUUGGACAAUGGACGCAAGCCUGAUCCAGCCAUGCCGCGUGCAGGAUGACUGCCCUAUGGGUUGUAAACUGCUUUUGUAAGGGAAGAAACUGGCCCAUGUGUCAGCAACUGACGGUAUCGCGAGAAUAAGCAUCGGCUAACUCCGUGCCAGCAGCCGCGGUAAUACGGAGGAUGCAAGCGUUAUCCGGAUUCAUUGGGUCUAAAGGGUGCGUAGGCGGGAUAGUAAGUCAGAGGUGAAAGGCCGUCGCUCAACCAUAGAAUUGCCUUUGAUACUGUCAUGCUUGAGUCCAGUUGAGGCUCGGCGGAAUGUGUCAUGUAGCGGUGAAAUGCAUAGAUAUGACACAGACUACCGAUUGCGUAGGCAGCUGACUUGGCUUUAAUUGACGCUGAGGCACGAAAGCGUGGGGAGCGAACAGGAUUAGAUACCCUGGUAGUCCAGGGCCGUAAACGAUGUUCACUCGCCCUUGGCCAUUCAUUGUCAGCACCUGAGCGAAAGCAUUAAGUGAUCCACCUGGGGAGUACGUCCGCAAGGAUGAAACUCAAAGGAAUUGACGGGGGUCCGCACAAGCGGUGGAACAUGUGGUUUAAUUCGAUGAUACGCGAGGAACCUU